Molecule: ribosomal RNA, 492 nt
Filed under: uncultured bacterium
Lineage: Bacteria
Description: partial 16S ribosomal RNA
Rfam family: Bacterial small subunit ribosomal RNA
Source: RNAcentral
AGUGAACGCUGGCGGUAGGCCUAACACAUGCAAGUCGAACGGCAGCACAGUAAGAGCUUGCUCUUACGGGUGGCGAGUGGCGGACGGGUGCGGAAUACAUCGCAAUCUACUUUUUCGUGGGGGCUAACGCAGGGGCACUUACCCUAUUCCCGCAUACGACGUACGGGUGAAAGCAGCGGACCUUCCGACCUCACGCGAUUCUAUGAGGCGAUGUCGGAUUAGCUAGUUGGCGGGGUAAAGGCCCACCAAGGCGACGAUCCGUAGCUGGUCUGAGAGGAUGAUCAGCCACACUGGAACUGAGACACGGUCCAGACUCCUACGGGAGGCAGCAGUGGGGAAUAUUGGACAAUGGGCGCAAGCCUGAUCCAGCCAUACCGCGUGGGUGAAGAAGGCCUUCGGGUUGUAAAGCCCUUUUGUUGGGAAAGAAGAGCAGCAGGUUAAUACCCCGCUGUUCUGACGGUACCCAAAGAAUAAGCACCGGCUAACUUCGUG